AGGGCUGUAGCUCAGUGGUAGAGCAUCUGCCUUGCAUGCAGAAGAUCCCAGGUUCAAUCCCUGGCAACUCCA
Non-coding RNA from Rhineura floridana, 72 nucleotides. Lineage: Eukaryota; Metazoa; Chordata; Lepidosauria; Squamata; Rhineuridae. The record is from the annotation of a RefSeq genome assembly.